Triticum aestivum (bread wheat) is the source of this 134-nucleotide non-coding RNA. Lineage: Eukaryota; Viridiplantae; Streptophyta; Magnoliopsida; Poales; Poaceae. The record is from Rfam.
AUAUUACUCCCUCCAUCCCAAACUUUUUGUCUUAUAUUUGUCUAGAUACGAUGUAUCUAAUACUAAAAUGUGACUUGAUACAUUCGUAUUUAGACAAAUCUAAGACAAGAAUUUUGGGACGGAGGGAGUAUGUA